This 468-nucleotide ribosomal RNA is filed under the name uncultured bacterium. Its description in RNAcentral is "partial 16S ribosomal RNA". It matches the Rfam family "Bacterial small subunit ribosomal RNA", at positions 28 to 507 of the family's 1533-position model. The record is from RNAcentral.
GACGAACGCUGGCGGCGUGCUUAACACAUGCAAGUCGAACGGAAAGGCCCUGCUUUUGUGGGGUGCUCGAGUGGCGAACGGGUGAGUAACACGUGAGUAACCUGCCCUUGACUUUGUGAUAACUUCAGGAAACUGGGGCUAAUACCGGAUAGGAGCUCCUGCUGCAUGGUGGGGGUUGGAAAGUUUCGGCGGUUGGGGAUGGACUCGCGGCUUAUCAGCUGGUUGGUGGGGUAGUGGCUUACCAAGGCUUUGACGGGUAGCCGGCCUGAGAGGGUGACCGGCCACAUUGGGACUGAGAGACGGAGCAGACUCCAACGGGAGGCAGCAGUGGGGAAUAUUGCACAAUGGGCGGAAGCCUGAUGCAGCAACGCCGCGUGCGGGAUGACGGCCUUCGGGUUGUAAACCGCUUUCGGCUGUGACGAAGCGUGAGUGACGGUAAUGGGUAAAGAAGCACCGGCUAACUACGUG